RNAcentral lists this ribosomal RNA (237 nucleotides) under Campylobacter coli. RNAcentral's name for it is "partial 23S ribosomal RNA". It matches the Rfam family "Bacterial large subunit ribosomal RNA", at positions 1095 to 1335 of the family's 2925-position model. The record is from RNAcentral. Lineage: Bacteria; Pseudomonadati; Campylobacterota; Epsilonproteobacteria; Campylobacterales; Campylobacteraceae.
AGGAGGUUGGCUUAGAAGCAGCCAUCCUUUAAAGAAAGCGUAAUAGCUCACUGGUCUAGUGAUUUUGCGCGGAAAAUAUAACGGGGCUAAAGUAAGUACCGAAGCUGUAGACUUGAUUUUAUCAAGUGGUAGGAGAGCGUUCUAUUUGCGUCGAAGGUAUACCGGUAAGGAGUGCUGGAGCGAAUAGAAGUGAGCAUGCAGGCAUGAGUAGCGAUAAUUAAUGUGAGAAUCAUUAAC